Molecule: ribosomal RNA, 500 nt
Filed under: uncultured bacterium
Lineage: Bacteria
Description: partial 16S ribosomal RNA
Rfam family: Bacterial small subunit ribosomal RNA
Source: RNAcentral
AUUGAACGCUGGCGGCAUGCUUUACACAUGCAAGUCGAACGGCAGCACGGACUUCGGUCCGGUGGCGAGUGGCGAACGGGUGAGUAAUACAUCGGAACGUGCCCAGUUGUGGGGGAUAACUACUCGAAAGAGUAGCUAAUACCGCAUGAGAACUGAGGUUGAAAGCAGGGGAUCGUAAGACCUUGCGCAACUGGAGCGGCCGAUGGCAGAUUAGGUAGUUGGUGGGAUAAAAGCUUACCAAGCCGACGAUCUGUAGCUGGUCUGAGAGGACGACCAGCCACACUGGGACUGAGACACGGCCCAGACUCCUACGGGAGGCAGCAGUGGGGAAUUUUGGACAAUGGGCGAAAGCCUGAUCCAGCAAUGCCGCGUGCAGGAUGAAGGCCUUCGGUUUGUAAACUGCUUUUGUACGGAACGAAAAGCUUCGGGUUAAUACCCUGGAGUCAUGACGGUACCGUAAGAAUAAGCACCGGCUAACUACGUGCCAGCAGCCGCCGUAA